AACGAACGCUGGCGGCGCGCCUAACACAUGCAAGUCGAACGGGGAUGGUCCCUUCGGGGUCGAUCCUAGUGGCGCACGGGUGAGUAACGCGUGGGUACCUGCCCCGGGCACCGGGACAACCGCGGGAAACUGCGGCUAAUACCGGAUGACGCCGUGACCCGAGAGGGUCAUGGCCAAAGCUCAGGCGGCCUGGGAUGGGCCCGCGUCCGAUUAGCUGGUUGGUGGGGUAGCGGCCUACCAAGGCUGUGAUCGGUAGCUGGUCUGAGAGGAUGGUCAGCCACACUGGGACUGAGACACGGCCCAGACUCCUACGGGAGGCAGCAGUGGGGAAUCUUGGACAAUGGGGGCAACCCUGAUCCAGCGACGCCGCGUGGGUGAUGAAGGCCUUCGGGUUGUAAAGCCCUUUCGCCGGGGACGAUGAUGACGGUACCCGGAGAAGAAGCACCGGCUAACUCCGUGCCAGCCGCCGCCGUAAAAC
RNAcentral lists this ribosomal RNA (478 nucleotides) under uncultured bacterium. RNAcentral's name for it is "bacterial SSU rRNA". It matches the Rfam family "Bacterial small subunit ribosomal RNA", at positions 28 to 526 of the family's 1533-position model. The record is from RNAcentral.